GGUACAGGCCAGGGAUGAAGGGUAGAUAUGACGAUGAGUACUGUUUUGAAAAGAAGGGAUUCAUAUGCCAAAUAGCUAUAGAUUGUGACUGUGAUUGUUAAACUUUUCCAUCUGAUGUAGCUAUCAUGGUUUACCUGGUAACUUCAUUAUCAACGUAGACAAAACUCAAGUAUUCAAUUUAUCUGCUAUUGUUUCGCUUAUAACUAAACAUCGUUUACGUCAUUUCUACACCUCGACUUCUAUAACAACGGUUUUAGUAUAACUGAUUGAUACUAUGAGAACUACUAUAUAUAAUACAAUAUAUAAUUAAUUGAUUGAUAUCAAUUAAUCUUAUAUACCAUGUAUUCAUCUUGUACAACUCAGAAAGGUGGUGGUAUGGUUGUAGCAUCAAUAAAAUGUGCACUAAUG
Saccoglossus kowalevskii is the source of this 408-nucleotide long non-coding RNA. The record is from RefSeq and is a predicted model, not a curated record. NCBI's taxonomy places the organism in Eukaryota, Metazoa, Hemichordata, Enteropneusta, Harrimaniidae.